RNAcentral lists this ribosomal RNA (549 nucleotides) under uncultured Glomus. Its description in RNAcentral is "SSU rRNA". It matches the Rfam family "Eukaryotic small subunit ribosomal RNA", at positions 548 to 1098 of the family's 1831-position model. Lineage: Eukaryota; Fungi; Glomeromycota; Glomeromycetes; Glomerales; Glomeraceae. The record is from RNAcentral.
UUGGAGGGCAAGUCUGGUGCCAGCAGCCGCGGUAAUUCCAGCUCCAAUAGCGUAUAUUAAAGUUGUUGCAGUUAAAAAGCUCGUAGUUGAAUUUCGGGGUUAGUAGGCUGGUCAUGCCUCAGGUAUGUACUGGUCUCACUGAUUCCUCCUUCCUGAUGAACUGUAAUGCCAUUAAUUUGGUGUUGCAGGGAAUCUGGACUGUUACUUUGAAAAAAUUAGAGUGUUUAAAGCAGGCUAACGCUUGAAUACAUUAGCAUGGAAUAAUGAAAUAGGACGUUCGAUCCUAUUUUGUUGGUUUCUAGGAUUGACGUAAUGAUUAAUAGGGAUAGUUGGGGGCAUUAGUAUUCAAUUGUCAGAGGUGAAAUUCUUGGAUUUAUUGAAGACUAACUACUGCGAAAGCAUUUGCCAAGGAUGUUUUCAUUAAUCAAGAACGAAAGUUAGGGGAUCGAAGACGAUCAGAUACCGUCGUAGUCUUAACCAUAAACUAUGCCGACUAGGGAUCGGAUGAUGUUAAUUUUUUAAUGACUCAUUCGGCGCCUUACGGGAAAC